CUUGCUUCUCUCACCUGCCAAUUAGUCUGCCUUCAGGGCCUAAUAACUGACUCCAUAACUGGCACUUUACUCUCAUCCUGCUUUCCAGCCUCCACCCAUUCCCAGCCUUGCUGUGGUCUGCUCUCCUUUUUGCAUACAACUGAAUUUCCCACAAAUAAACCAUCAUACAAGGCAUGAAGAUUUUGAGUAUGAAUUCCUCCUCAAGAAUACCUCACUAGAAAAAAAUCCUGGGAUUGGCUACAGAAUGGAAGUGCUGUUCCUAUAUCGUAACUAACUGGAAGAGGCCUGAGAAGAGAAAUUGAAAAGGAAGCGUUUUUCUGAUUAUGAACCUGCAGUGACCUAGCACAGAUUAUUUCCAGGACUGGUAAAGUUUGUUCUAUGUAAAUGUCUUCCAUUUGGAAAACAGUAAAUAUAAAUAAAUCAUGAAUGUAUAGACUUCCCACAAAA
Mastomys coucha (southern multimammate mouse) is the source of this 447-nucleotide long non-coding RNA. RefSeq lists it as uncharacterized. The record is from RefSeq and is a predicted model, not a curated record. The transcript has 3 exons. NCBI's taxonomy places the organism in Eukaryota, Metazoa, Chordata, Mammalia, Rodentia, Muridae.